This is a long non-coding RNA of Tachyglossus aculeatus (Australian echidna), 240 nucleotides long. RefSeq lists it as uncharacterized. The record is from RefSeq and is a predicted model, not a curated record. NCBI's taxonomy places the organism in Eukaryota, Metazoa, Chordata, Mammalia, Monotremata, Tachyglossidae. The transcript has 3 exons.
AGCAUUGAUGAAGAUACAAUGGCUUUGUUUAAGUUGACAGCUGAGAGCCUAGGUCUUGGAGAGGAUAGAAUGGCCUUCCCAACACAGAUCGAAACCUGCACCCCUGCCAAAGAUUAGGAAGAACUGACACCCCAGAGCCGCUCGACUUUCUUCUGAAUUCAACCUAAGAACCAACUCUAUCCUGAAAUCCAUGCCUAUCUCUUCAUCUGACAAGUUGUUUCCCCCUGCAGGCUUGGCCAG